RNAcentral lists this ribosomal RNA (2927 nucleotides) under Salmonella enterica subsp. enterica serovar Newport str. Levine 15. Its description in RNAcentral is "bacterial LSU rRNA". It matches the Rfam family "Bacterial large subunit ribosomal RNA". The record is from RNAcentral. Lineage: Bacteria; Pseudomonadati; Pseudomonadota; Gammaproteobacteria; Enterobacterales; Enterobacteriaceae.
GGGUUGUGAGGUUAAGCGACUAAGCGUACACGGUGGAUGCCCUGGCAGUCAGAGGCGAUGAAGGGCGUGCUAAUCUGCGAUAAGCGCCGGUAAGGUGAUAUGAACCGUUAUAACCGGCGAUACCCGAAUGGGGAAACCCAGUGUGAUUCGUCACACUAUCAUUAACUGAAUCCAUAGGUUAAUGAGGCGAACCGGGGGAACUGAAACAUCUAAGUACCCCGAGGAAAAGAAAUCAACCGAGAUUCCCCCAGUAGCGGCGAGCGAACGGGGAGGAGCCCAGAGCCUGAAUCAGCAUGUGUGUUAGUGGAAGCGUCUGGAAAGGCGCGCGAUACAGGGUGACAGCCCCGUACACAAAAGCGCAUGUGCUGUGAGCUCGAUGAGUAGGGCGGGACACGUGAUAUCCUGUCUGAAUAUGGGGGGACCAUCCUCCAAGGCUAAAUACUCCUGACUGACCGAUAGUGAACCAGUACCGUGAGGGAAAGGCGAAAAGAACCCCGGCGAGGGGAGUGAAAAAGAACCUGAAACCGUGUACGUACAAGCAGUGGGAGCACCCUUCGGGGUGUGACUGCGUACCUUUUGUAUAAUGGGUCAGCGACUUAUAUUCUGUAGCAAGGUUAACCGAAUAGGGGAGCCGGAGGGAAACCGAGUCUUAACCGGGCGUUAAGUUGCAGGGUAUAGACCCGAAACCCGGUGAUCUAGCCAUGGGCAGGUUGAAGGUUGGGUAACACUAACUGGAGGACCGAACCGACUAAUGUUGAAAAAUUAGCGGAUGACCUGUGGCUGGGGGUGAAAGGCCAAUCAAACCGGGAGAUAGCUGGUUCUCCCCGAAAGCUAUUUAGGUAGCGCCUCGUGAAUUCAUCUCCGGGGGUAGAGCACUGUUUCGGCUAGGGGGCCAUCCCGGCUUACCAACCCGAUGCAAACUGCGAAUACCGGAGAAUGUUAUCACGGGAGACACACGGCGGGUGCUAACGUCCGUCGUGAAGAGGGAAACAACCCAGACCGCCAGCUAAGGUCCCAAAGUCAUGGUUAAGUGGGAAACGAUGUGGGAAGGCCCAGACAGCCAGGAUGUUGGCUUAGAAGCAGCCAUCAUUUAAAGAAAGCGUAAUAGCUCACUGGUCGAGUCGGCCUGCGCGGAAGAUGUAACGGGGCUAAACCAUGCACCGAAGCUGCGGCAGCGACGCUGAUGCGUUGUUGGGUAGGGGAGCGUUCUGUAAGCCUGCGAAGGUGGCCUGUGAGGGUUGCUGGAGGUAUCAGAAGUGCGAAUGCUGACAUAAGUAACGAUAAAGCGGGUGAAAAGCCCGCUCGCCGGAAGACCAAGGGUUCCUGUCCAACGUUAAUCGGGGCAGGGUGAGUCGACCCCUAAGGCGAGGCCGAAAGGCGUAGUCGAUGGGAAACGGGUUAAUAUUCCCGUACUUGGUGUUACUGCGAAGGGGGGACGGAGAAGGCUAUGUUGGCCGGGCGACGGUUGUCCCGGUUUAAGCGUGUAGGUGUGUGUUCCAGGUAAAUCCGGUUCACUUUAACACUGAGGCGUGACGACGAGGCACUACGGUGCUGAAGCAACAAAUGCCCUGCUUCCAGGAAAAGCCUCUAAGCAUCAGGUAACAUCAAAUCGUACCCCAAACCGACACAGGUGGUCAGGUAGAGAAUACCAAGGCGCUUGAGAGAACUCGGGUGAAGGAACUAGGCAAAAUGGUGCCGUAACUUCGGGAGAAGGCACGCUGACACGUAGGUGAAGUGAUUUACUCAUGGAGCUGAAGUCAGUCGAAGAUACCAGCUGGCUGCAACUGUUUAUUAAAAACACAGCACUGUGCAAACACGAAAGUGGACGUAUACGGUGUGACGCCUGCCCGGUGCCGGAAGGUUAAUUGAUGGGGUCAGCGCAAGCGAAGCUCCUGAUCGAAGCCCCGGUAAACGGCGGCCGUAACUAUAACGGUCCUAAGGUAGCGAAAUUCCUUGUCGGGUAAGUUCCGACCUGCACGAAUGGCGUAAUGAUGGCCAGGCUGUCUCCACCCGAGACUCAGUGAAAUUGAACUCGCUGUGAAGAUGCAGUGUACCCGCGGCAAGACGGAAAGACCCCGUGAACCUUUACUAUAGCUUGACACUGAACAUUGAGCCUUGAUGUGUAGGAUAGGUGGGAGGCUUUGAAGCGUGGACGCCAGUCUGCAUGGAGCCGACCUUGAAAUACCACCCUUUAAUGUUUGAUGUUCUAACGUGGACCCGUGAUCCGGGUUGCGGACAGUGUCUGGUGGGUAGUUUGACUGGGGCGGUCUCCUCCUAAAGAGUAACGGAGGAGCACGAAGGUUGGCUAAUCCUGGUCGGACAUCAGGAGGUUAGUGCAAUGGCAUAAGCCAGCUUGACUGCGAGCGUGACGGCGCGAGCAGGUGCGAAAGCAGGUCAUAGUGAUCCGGUGGUUCUGAAUGGAAGGGCCAUCGCUCAACGGAUAAAAGGUACUCCGGGGAUAACAGGCUGAUACCGCCCAAGAGUUCAUAUCGACGGCGGUGUUUGGCACCUCGAUGUCGGCUCAUCACAUCCUGGGGCUGAAGUAGGUCCCAAGGGUAUGGCUGUUCGCCAUUUAAAGUGGUACGCGAGCUGGGUUUAGAACGUCGUGAGACAGUUCGGUCCCUAUCUGCCGUGGGCGCUGGAGAACUGAGGGGGGCUGCUCCUAGUACGAGAGGACCGGAGUGGACGCAUCACUGGUGUUCGGGUUGUCAUGCCAAUGGCACUGCCCGGUAGCUAAAUGCGGAAGAGAUAAGUGCUGAAAGCAUCUAAGCACGAAACUUGCCCCGAGAUGAGUUCUCCCUGAGACUUAGAGUCUCCUGAAGGAACGUUGAAGACGACGACGUUGAUAGGCCGGGUGUGUAAGCGCAGCGAUGCGUUGAGCUAACCGGUACUAAUGAACCGUGAGGCUUAACCUUACAACGCCGAAG